RNAcentral lists this ribosomal RNA (743 nucleotides) under Hersiliola macullulata. RNAcentral's name for it is "eukaryotic LSU rRNA". The stretch from base 472 to 743 matches the Rfam family "Eukaryotic large subunit ribosomal RNA", at positions 665 to 898 of the family's 3401-position model. The record is from RNAcentral. Lineage: Eukaryota; Metazoa; Arthropoda; Arachnida; Araneae; Hersiliidae.
AUUCAGUCGGGGUCUGCGUGCCCGGCGGUCGGACCAGAGAAUCACCGAGCCUCGAAGCAGGCCGGGUCCGGCCCCGAGAUUUCGCGGGCUUUGACGCAUUUCCUUUCCCGUCCGAAGGACGCCGCAGCCGGUCGGGGUCGCCUCGUGCGCGGCGGCCAGGAAGGUGGGAACCGGCAGUUGGCCGGGGGCGCGGCUAGUCUGCGUUUCCCGGUUGUUAGCCAUCCCGCCCGCGGCUGCCACCCGACCGUGGUAUCACCAGGCCCUUCGGGGUCGAAGUCGCCUCCUCCUACCGAAAACGGUGGGACGUACGGAACGCGCGCGGCAGGCGCAGCGAGACGUUGGCGCGGCACGCGCGAGACGCGUGGGAGCCUCGUCCGUGGAUGUGCCGUUUGUCGCGAAGCCCUACCGCGGGAGUGCUGGCGGCUCGCGGCGAGUAGAUCGGUCACCCAUCCGACCCGUCUUGAAACACGGACCAAGGAGUCUAACAUGUGCGCGAGUCAAUGGGACUUGAACAUGCCCAGAGGCGUAAUGAAAGCAAAGAGAGUCCCCGGAAGCGGGUGACCUCGAGUUGGGAUCCCCGUGCCUUGAGCUCGGGGCGCACCAACGGCCCGUCCUCUCCGACUUGUCGGUUGGGCGGAGCGUGAGCGUACACGUUGGGACCCGAAAGAUGGUGAACUAUGCCCGGACAGGACGAGGCCAGAGGAAACUCUGGUGGAGGUCCGCAGCGGUUCUGACGUGCAAAU